Molecule: ribosomal RNA, 46 nt
Filed under: Combretum celastroides subsp. celastroides
Lineage: Eukaryota; Viridiplantae; Streptophyta; Magnoliopsida; Myrtales; Combretaceae
Description: partial 26S ribosomal RNA
Source: RNAcentral
UACCCGCUGAGUUUAAGCAUAUCAAUAAGCGGAGGAAAAGAAAGUA